Molecule: ribosomal RNA, 100 nt
Filed under: Pogona vitticeps (central bearded dragon)
Lineage: Eukaryota; Metazoa; Chordata; Lepidosauria; Squamata; Agamidae
Source: RNAcentral
AUCUGCAAUUCUUUUUUUCUGAUUUUGGAAGCUAAGCAGCAUCAGACAUGGUUAGUUCUUGGAUGGGAGACCACCACUGAAUAGCAGGGAUUGCCAGCUG